AAGAGAUCUCACUGUUGUCAAAGGCUCGUCCUAGUCGCACUUAAGCCCGGAAUGUAGCACAUCACUGCAAGCACCAAGCUGCUUAUGCGUCCAUCUCAUCACCCAUGGGCUGUUUCUUGAAGAAGGGGGCACUAAACAAUAAACAUAGUUUUUUCAAUUCUUUUGUCCAUGUAAUUGCUUCUGUCAAUUAUAGUUAACGUUUUGGAACUAUAUCUAUUUUUAAAUAUUUUUUUCUUCAUUUGCCCCUUUCUAAAUUAAAGCAUGUGCUUCAAAUUAAGCUCUAGGUUUAGAACCCCUACACAGCUGAGGAGGUGAAAGCAAGGUGGGAGUAUCUCUUCUUUUUUUCCUCUUAUAAUACUAAGGGAGAUGGAUAAUCGCAAUGUGUUGAUUUAACUUGCUUGUGUGGUACUCAGCUCAUAUUAUAUUAUAUUAUAUUAUAUUAAAUUAAAUUUAUUAAUAACACAUUUUAUUUACAAGAACAACAACUAUUCCUUCCGUCCCAACUUUUUUGAUACUAUUUCAUGAUAUGUGGUGAAACAGAGUUAUAUCUGCAAAUCAGAACAGUUUGAGUGGGUGAAUAACUUGUAAUUGCUAAUAAAAAAGUUGAGUUAAGGUGCCACAAAAUUCUCUAUUGGAGUAAUGGCAAAUUGGCAACUAAAGAAAUGAAUAGUCAGGAUAGUAUUGCCUAAAAUAUUUAAUCUGUAUUUCAUCUCCUUAACUGCAUAGCUUACAUAAAGUCAUUGAGCUGUAACUCAUUCCAGUAAAAAAGAAAUGUGUGCUCUGCUCUUGAGCGUAGUGACAUACUUGAUCUCUUCUUUGCUGUUUAUGGUUAUCGGUUAUCAUAGUACGCCUUUACAGAUUUCUUACUUAGACGCUUAGGUAAACUUUUGUUCUCUUUCAAGUUUCAGGCGAUAUUUUCUUACACUUGCCUUGUGCCAUGGUUCUGAUUUCAGUUUAUGCCUUACCUCUUGAUAGACCAGUUGUUUCUUACUUCUCCAGUAACCAAAUCUCCUCAUAUGUAGGUACUGUAAUAUGAAGUUGAUCUUUGGUCUUCUAUUAAAGCAGUUCGAUCAGCGUUGGUGAAAUUUUGAGUCUCUUCUUGAAUUCUCCUUGAAGUACAUACAUUUGUCAAAUGCCCUCUUUAAAAUCUUCAAGAUUCUAUAAAAUGUUAUCAUCAUACAUUAACUUGCCAUAUUGACUGAAAAACUAAAAUGUGACCCAGUAGGGGAAGGAUAAAUAAGUUUCCCAACCAGAGUUUUGAUUAUACCUUGUCUUCUCUUUAGAACCUAGAUUGGUGGUUGAAUACAGUAAAGUUCUAGCAUGCUUGAAGCCAAGAAUUCCUAUUUCUUUUAACAGGUCUCAGACAGUGCUUCCAUUAAGAGAAAUAAAUUCCAUGUUUUGAUCAAACCACUCCAUCCCUAGAAAAUACUUGACAUGAAUUAUGACACUAUAAUUUUAAAAAGAACUGACAGGAUUGAAUUAGAUGUGGUUAGAGCUUUAUCUGGGAAUGGAUCAACCAUUUAUUAUAAUGGCAAUUGACAAGUAUUCUGGACUGACUCGUCAUUGGUUACAGGCUCAUAUUCCUGUGUGAAUUUUCUCUCCUCACAAGUAGUAGUCUUAAAAUAAUACUCUCUGUCCUAUUUUAUGUGACACAGAUCAUAUGCCUGUAUGAAUUUGCCCUCCUCAUAAGUAGUAGUUUCAAAAUAACACUCUCUCCGUCCCAUUUUUAUGUGACACACUUCCCUUUUUAAUUUGUCCCAAGAAGAAUGAAACCUUCCCAUAUUUAGAAACAAUUGAACAUUUUUUUUUUGAAACUGGUAAGGGUUUACGAUAAGGGUGCGGAUCUAGAUGUCGGAUUCUUCAUGAUCUAAACAUAAAGAUCCGGGGAUAUAGAUCCACCUGCGGAUACGGGUGAGGGAAUUCGGCUAAAAAUAAUUCAAAUUUCUAAAAAAAAGUUGUCUAAAUUAUGAGACAUAACAUGGAAAACUUACAAGGUAUUCCAAGGAAAAAUGUUAAUCAAGAAGAGAAUCCCAUUAGGAGAAUAAAAUAAAAAGGACUGAUAUGGAAAUUUCUAUGUACAUGCUAUUCCAAUUUCUUCAAUUUCUCCUUAGCUUUUGUUUUGAUUACAUAAAUAAGCAAUUCCAAUUUCUUUAUACAAGCUAUUCCAAUUUCUUCAAUUUCCAAUUUCUUCAAUUUCCAAUUCGGUUGACUAAAUCUGGUAUGGAUCCCACACCAAUGUCGUGAAACACUGGUGCGGCUCCAAAACUGAAGAACCCUGAAACAUUCUUAUUGAUCAAAUAUGUUGCUCCGGGAAGAAUAACUUACCUUUAGAAAAGAUUGUGUAUAUAGGAGAAAAAUGUUAGAUCAAUGGUGUGUGUACAUAUAUGUUAUAACUUAUAAUUGAAUUUUAAAAAAAAAAUUGAUGAAAAAUAUUAUACUCUUUGUAAAGGUUAAUUUAAAACAUCAAAUUCAUAUGCAUUGCUGUGUACUUCCUUGGUCGUCCUUGAUUAAGCAUAAAAAUAUAUGACCAGUUUAGUAGUCAUUUUAUUAUAUUUAGAUAGUAUUUCUCGAUCCAAGAAAUAUUACCUACAUAAUUCUAUAUUCUAAUGAGAAAAUGGCCAAAUGACUCCCCAAUCUAUUACCAAUUUCCAACUACACACCUAUACUUCACGGGGGUCCUAUUACCCUCCGAGCUAUUUUAAAGUGGAAUUUUUUCCUCCUUGGCAUAUAUCUUGUGGUGAAAUACACUCACUUGACACGCAUAUCUCACCAUUUAAUAAUAAUUUUUUAAAAACAAAAUUACUCCUCCUUCCUCUUCCUUUCUUCCCAAAUUAUUUUUUCAACCCUAACUAUAAUAAAUAGCAUUUUUUACCUCAAUAAAUUUCUAUAUCUCUAACAAUUUAUAAAAACGAAUAUUCAAGUCAUCUUUUUUCUUUCCCAUUCUUUAGUUUUCUCUCUAAAAUUUUCAUGAUUAAUUUAUAAUUUGAGUUUUUGAUUUUGAUUCUUCAUGGGUUUUAGGAGAAUAUGUAGGAUCCUUCUUCAAAAAUGUAGAAGAAAUUGUUUUGUUUUAGUUUCUUUCAAUAAGUUUAAAGGUAUUUUUUAAAUAUACAAUUACUUCACUUUGAUUUUGUUACUCUUGAGUCCAUGGCUUUUAAAAAAAUAAUUAAAAGGUAGUAUGUUUUUUUUUAAAAAAAAAAAUUAAUUUGUUAGCUGUGUUCAAACAAGUCUAAUGAAAAAUUAUUUAUUCAUAAAAUGCAUUUGUUGUUGAUAAUUAAAAUUAGGCAACUCACUCUCUCAAAGAGAGUGAUAUACACUCUCUCUGCGAACUCAGCACUUAGGGGAUUAUUGAAUCCAUUUUAAGUAGUUCAGGGGUAAUAGGACUCCCGCGAAGAAUAUGUGGGUAGUUUAAAAUCUGGUAAUAGAUUGGAGGUCAUUUGGCCAAUUUCCUCUAUUCAAAUUAAAGCUGAUUUUAAAUUUGUGUGCUGUAGUAUUGAAUAAGAGUUGGAAAAGUAUAACAUCUAAUCGACUUAGUACCACCAAAUUAAAGUAGCAAAGAUGAAGGAACUACUGAUAUGACUUCCAAUUAUCAUUGGAUGUUAUGCAAUACAAAUGCUUCUUUCAUCAAACAGCUUCAUAAUUUGAUAAUUGUUGCAAAGAUGCGUUAUCUGCUUCAUCUCUGCUUUGUAGUUCUACCCUAUGAUGUGUGAAAGACUGCAUUCUUUUUGCUAUUCUUCUCCCAGAUUUGUAAAUUUAUUUGUCAAAUUGCCCUUUACCAUUAGCAGCCUGUCUAGAUCAGGUUGAUUCCUCAGCAUCUAUCCAAAAUUGUACUUGAACUUAAUUUAAAGUAAUUUAGCUCAAAUCCAUAGUUAGUGAAAGGCUUGUGCAUGCACUACUUAGUUACUUAUAGGAAAAAAGAUCCUAGCAAUCCCUUUUUCAGUCUCAUGUUUCCCAGGGUGGUCUUGUUUAAUAGAGACUCUAUAUUGAAUUCAGUAGAAUUAUUCAUUAACUUCAGAAUGUUAAUGUAUUAUCAGUUCCAAAGAACCCAUGCAAGGCGGAACUAAUCUUCGUGCGAAUGGAUUUAGAAUGUGAAUUAUAGCUUUAUCCUAGCAACAACAUUUUUUUUGAAAUUAAUAGGGCCUGUGAAGACCAAGUUACAAUGAAUGUGAUCUGAGUAAAAGCUACACAGAAAAUUGCUAGAUAACUAUAGAGACUCUAGGAACUGUAUGAGAGUCUCUGUGUCACUUAUAUAUUCUUGUUUACACCAAAAUGCAAAAGCAGAAUACAAUUAAGCCUUAUCUUCUGGAGUAGGGUUGCUUUUGUUCUCAAAACAUCUUGAAUUCCUUUCCUUCCUGAUACUCCUCCAUAUGCAGCCUGGGAUUAUAUUCCAACUAGUUUUUUGAGCGUUUGUUCCUCCUUUCCUACUCCAGCGAGAUAUCAUAUCUAGUGUAUUCAUUGGCAUUGUCCAGCUCAAACUGAUCAUUGCUAGAAAUAUGUCCCAGAGUUGAGAAGUCACCUUAUAAUGCAAAAAAAAAAGAUAGCUAUUUGUUUCUGCAUUUCUUCCACAUA
Long non-coding RNA from Solanum pennellii, 4566 nucleotides. RefSeq lists it as uncharacterized. Lineage: Eukaryota; Viridiplantae; Streptophyta; Magnoliopsida; Solanales; Solanaceae. The transcript has 2 exons. The record is from RefSeq and is a predicted model, not a curated record.